GUGAAUAUGGAAUCCAUAAGUCUUAAGAGUAUCAUUAUUGGAGUACUCAUGCUAGGACUAGUCCUUCAACAGACCCAUAUAGAGGCCAAGAGCUGUUGUUGUUCCACCACGACAAGAAACUGCUAUAAUGUAUGUCGUGUCACCGGUUCCUCUCGGUCUACAUGUGCAAGCUUAUGUUGUUGCAAGAUUUUGGAAAAAUGUGUGCCUCCAUGUGACCGCUUCAACCUUGUCACAGACGCAGACGAAGCAAAAUCCAUUGAGUUCUGCAAGUUGGGAUGCAUGUCCUCAUUGUGCGGGAACAUCAACGCUGUUGUUGCGAGUCAAGAAGUGAACGAUGUCAAAGAUCAUUGCGAAACUGGAUGCUACCAUCUCUGCACUAAGGAUUAUGAAUUUGGCGAAGUCCUUGCUUAAGAAAGUGUGAGAGUCGACAUUUCAUGUUGAAUAUACGGGAGUGUCAAUGUUAUAUUGAAUAACUGGAUAACAUGUUCAAUCCAGUGUGUCAAUUUAUUUCUGCUUGUAAGUGUCUCGGUGAUGCGAUAUUAUAGAUAAUGUGCUCAUCGUUUUGUAAGAAACGUAUGUCAUAUCCAAUGUAAUGUGAUGUAUUAUUAUAAU
Molecule: long non-coding RNA, 612 nt
Organism: Hordeum vulgare subsp. vulgare (domesticated barley)
Lineage: Eukaryota; Viridiplantae; Streptophyta; Magnoliopsida; Poales; Poaceae
Exons: 3
Source: RefSeq, a predicted model, not a curated record